This 478-nucleotide ribosomal RNA is filed under the name uncultured bacterium. Its description in RNAcentral is "partial 16S ribosomal RNA". It matches the Rfam family "Bacterial small subunit ribosomal RNA", at positions 28 to 523 of the family's 1533-position model. The record is from RNAcentral.
GACGAACGCUGGCGGCGUGCUUAACACAUGCAAGUCGAACGGUAAGGCCCUUCGGGGUACACGAGUGGCUAACGGGUGAGUAACACGUGGGUGAUCUGCCCUGCACUUCGGGAUAAGCCUGGGAAACUGGGUCUAAUACCGGAUAGGACUCCUGGCUUCAUGGUUGGGGGUGGAAAGCUUUUGCGGUGUGGGAUGGGCCCGCGGCCUAUCAGCUUGUUGGUGGGGUAAUGGCCUACCAAGGCGACGACGGGUAGCCGGCCUGAGAGGGUGACCGGUCACACUGGGACUGAGAUACGGCCCAGACUCCGACGGGAGGCAGCAGUGGGGAAUAUUGCACAAUGGGCGCAAGCCUGAUGCAGCGACGCCGCGUGAGGGAUGACGGCCUUCGGGUUGUAAACCUCUUUCAGCUAUGACGAAGCGCAAGUGACGGUAGUAGCAGAAGAAGGACCGGCCAACUACGUGCCAGCAGCCGCCGCGG